CGGACGGGUGAGUAACACGUGGAUAACCUACCUAUAAGACUGGGAUAACUUCGGGAAACCGGGGCUAAUACCGGAUAAUAUUUUGAACCGCAUGGUUCAAAAGUGAAAGACGGUCUUGCUGUCACUUAUAGAUGGAUCCGCGCUGCAUUAGCUAGUUGGUAAGGUAACGGCUUACCAAGGCAACGAUGCAUAGCCGACCUGAGAGGGUGAUCGGCCACACUGGAACUGAGACACGGUCCAG
Molecule: ribosomal RNA, 241 nt
Filed under: uncultured Staphylococcus sp.
Lineage: Bacteria; Bacillati; Bacillota; Bacilli; Caryophanales; Staphylococcaceae
Description: partial 16S ribosomal RNA
Rfam family: Bacterial small subunit ribosomal RNA
Source: RNAcentral